UUUAUUUUGAGGUAAAUCUUCAUUUUUGUGUCUCGGUUUGGAGUUUGGACUCUCGGUUUUGAUUGUAAUAUCUCUGGCUAGUUUUUUCCCUUAUUCCUGCAUCAAUUCUUCAGUGCAAGAGACUUAGAGCCCUUGAUAAGGCAUCCUAAUGUUGUAACUUUGAAAGCUUACUACUGGUCUGUAGAUGAGAAGCUGCUCAUAUAUGAUUACAUUUCCAAUGGAAAUCUUUCCACUGCACUUCAUGGGAGGUCUGGAACAGAGUCAUUCACACCCCUAUCAUGGUCUGUUCGGCUAAAAAUCAUGAAAGGAAUUGCUAAAGGCCUCAAGGGUACUGAAAUUGGAGAGAAAUAGUCUGGAGUAUCUUCUACACCACUUUUGUGGAGUAACUGCUAAUAAAGAGUUCUAGGGAGUGGUUUUGAGGUGAUUUCUGUUGGAAGAAAAAAGCUUGUUCGUUCUGUUCCAACAAAGUUGAACAAAGACCAUUUCAUAGUUGGUGAAAUGGGUGAAGCUGAGAAAAGGUCAGUGCUUAGAAGAACACUAAAGAGUCUUUGUGUUAGUAAUGGUUGGUCUUAUGGCAUUUUCUGGUGUUUCGACCAAAGAAAUCCCAUGCUGUUGUCUCUUGAAGAUGCCUACUUUGAGGACCCAGUUGGAGCUGUCAUUGAAAAUAUGCUAUUAAAAGUCCAUGUGCUUAGA
Long non-coding RNA from Humulus lupulus (European hop), 693 nucleotides. RefSeq lists it as uncharacterized. NCBI's taxonomy places the organism in Eukaryota, Viridiplantae, Streptophyta, Magnoliopsida, Rosales, Cannabaceae. The record is from RefSeq and is a predicted model, not a curated record. The transcript is spliced from 5 exons.